CAUAUACAGCUUGAUAAAUCUCUUCCUGCACCUCUGGGCACCAUAGGUGCCUGGCUGUACAGAGCAGAGGUGGCCCUGAGAGAGGAAAUAACCAUUCAACAGGUCCACGAGGAAACAGCAAACACGAUACAACGGAAACUUGAGCAACAUAAGAGAAAAUGCCUGACAAUGAUCUGCUUCAAAACACAGAUGCCCACAAAAGAGCAUUCCAUGAAAUCUACCGGACCAGGUCUGUUAACGGGAUUCCAGUGCCACCUGAUCAAUUAGAGGACAUGGCCGAGAGGUUUCAUUUUGUUUCCUCCACAUCAGAGCUACACCUAAUGAAAAUGGAAUUUUUAGAAUUAAAGUACCGUCUGCUCUCACUGCUGGUUCUUGCAGAGUCAAAGCUGAAGUCUUGGAUCAUUAAGUACGGGAGGAGAGAGUCAGUGGAGCAGCUUCUACAAAACUACGUGUCUUUUAUAGAAAAUAGCAAGUUCUUUGAACAAUAUGAAGUGACAUACCAGAUCUUGAAACAGACAGCUGAGAUGUAUGUCAAAGCAGAUGGUUCAGUGGAAGAAGCUGAGAAUGUGAUGAAAUUCAUGAAUGAAACCACCGCUCAGUGGAGGAAUCUCUCAGUAGAAGUUAGGAGUGUGAGGAGCAUGCUGGAAGAAGUGAUCUCUAACUGGGAUCGCUAUGGCAAUACAGUGGCUAGUCUGCAAGCCUGGCUAGAGGAUGCUGAAAAAAUGCUCAAUCAAUCAGAAAAUGCCAAAAAGGAUUUUUUUCGAAAUUUACCUCAUUGGAUUCAGCAGCAUACUGCCAUGAACGAUGCUGGCAAUUUUCUAAUUGAAACCUGUGAUGAGAUGGUUUCCCGUGACCUGAAGCAGCAAUUACUGUUGCUAAAUGGGCGGUGGAGGGAGUUGUUUAUGGAAGUCAAGCAAUAUGCUCAAGCUGAUGAGAUGGACAGAAUGAAGAAGGAAUACACAGACUGUGUUGUUACCCUGUCUGCUUUUGCAACGGAAGCCCAUAAGAAAAUUUCUGAACCCUUAGAAGUCUCUUUUAUGAAUGUCAAGUUAUUAAUUCAAGACUUGGAGGAUAUUGAGCAGAGGGUGCCUGUGAUGGAUGCCCAAUACAAGAUAAUUACCAAGACAGCACACCUCAUUACCAAAGAAAGCCCCCAAGAAGAAGGAAAAGAAAUGUUUGCAACCAUGUCAAAGCUCAAAGAGCAGCUAACCAAGGUCAAAGAAUGUUACUCCCCACUCCUUUAUGAGUCUCAGCAGCUGUUGAUUCCGUUGGAGGAAUUAGAAAAGCAGAUGACGUCCUUUUAUGACUCACUUGGGAAAAUCGAUGAAAUUAUCACAGUUCUUGAGCGUGAGGCACAAUCGAGUGCUCUUUUUAAACAAAAACAUCAG
RNAcentral lists this small RNA (1388 nucleotides) under Pongo abelii (Sumatran orangutan). RNAcentral's name for it is "processed transcript". Lineage: Eukaryota; Metazoa; Chordata; Mammalia; Primates; Hominidae. The record is from RNAcentral.